This is a long non-coding RNA of Eriocheir sinensis (Chinese mitten crab), 717 nucleotides long. RefSeq lists it as uncharacterized. The transcript has 6 exons. The record is from RefSeq and is a predicted model, not a curated record. NCBI's taxonomy places the organism in Eukaryota, Metazoa, Arthropoda, Malacostraca, Decapoda, Varunidae.
UCGCACACCCGGUCCCAGCCGUGGAGGGAGGAGGCUGGUGUGUUAUUUUUGUGUUUUUUGAAGCGAAUUAUCCUGUUGCCGAGGGAGCCAUGCACCUGGAAACGGCUGGGGAAGGAGACGGUGGCUGAGUGGUUAGCGUGCCGGUCCUGCGUUCACUGCGUCAUGGAUGAUGAGGGUUUGAAUCAGUCGCUGCCACAGACUACUUGUCCUGAAGACCACCACCAUCAUCCUGGACUGUAUGGGACUGUCCAAGGGAAAGCAAGAUGGGGCCGCUAUAAACACUUGCCGGCUUGGGCCCACCACCAGGCCCAGCCAAGGGAGGUUGGUGUAGCAGUGCCGGGAGGUUCCAUAACACAGGGCACUCCUCACCUCAACAACAGUCUCUUCACCGACAAGUAAUUCUUCACCAACAAGCUUUUCAGCAGCUUGGAGGAAUAGAGAAAAGAGGAGGAGGAGGAAGAAGAGGAGGAGGAAGAAGAGGAGGAGGAGGACUUUGAAGACUGACAGACAGACAUCAUUCCAGUGAUGAAAGAGGAAGAGGAAGAGGAGGAGGAGGAGGACACAGGAAUUUCUUGAAUUGAACGGACCUCUCGGUCUGCUCAAGGGACACCGCACACUCUGGAAGAAGAAAGAACACCAAGAUGUCAAGUUCCUGCAGAAUCAGCCUCUUAGUGAAGGAAAUGUGCUCUAUUUAUUUAAUAAAUAAUUGACAAAAAA